GCCCCCGUAGCUCAAGUGGACAGAGCGCUGGCCUCCUAAGCCGGAGAUCCCCGUUCAAAUCGGGGCGGGGGCACCA
RNAcentral lists this transfer RNA (76 nucleotides) under Pseudomonadota bacterium. Its description in RNAcentral is "tRNA-Arg". It matches the Rfam family "tRNA". Rfam says of the family: Transfer RNA (tRNA) molecules are approximately 80 nucleotides in length. The record is from RNAcentral. RNAcentral also lists the same sequence under 1 other name. Lineage: Bacteria; Pseudomonadati; Pseudomonadota.